AUUGAACGCUGGCGGCAGGCCUAACACAUGCAAGUCGAGCGGAUGACGGGAGCUUGCUCCUUGAUUCAGCGGCGGACGGGUGAGUAAUGCCUAGGAAUCUGCCUGGUAGUGGGGGACAACGUUUCGAAAGGAACGCUAAUACCGCAUACGUCCUACGGGAGAAAGCAGGGGACCUUCGGGCCUUGCGCUAUCAGAUGAGCCUAGGUCGGAUUAGCGAGUUGGUGGGGUAAUGGCUCACCAAGGCGACGAUCCGUAACUGGUCUGAGAGGAUGAUCAGUCACACUGGAACUGAGACACGGUCCAGACUCCUACGGGAGGCAGCAGUGGGGAAUAUUGGACAAUGGGCGAAAGCCUGAUCCAGCCAUGCCGCGUGUGUGAAGAAGGUCUUCGGAUUGUAAAGCACUUUAAGUUGGGAGGAAGGGCAGUAAGUUAAUACCUCGCUGUUUUGACGUUACCGACAGAAUAAGCACCGGCUAACUCUGUGCCAGCAGCCGCCGCCG
Molecule: ribosomal RNA, 500 nt
Filed under: uncultured bacterium
Lineage: Bacteria
Description: partial 16S ribosomal RNA
Rfam family: Bacterial small subunit ribosomal RNA
Source: RNAcentral